Molecule: ribosomal RNA, 403 nt
Filed under: uncultured soil bacterium
Lineage: Bacteria
Description: bacterial SSU rRNA
Rfam family: Bacterial small subunit ribosomal RNA
Source: RNAcentral
AGAACGAACGCUGGCGGCAUGCCUAACACAUGCAAGUCGAACGAGACCUUCGGGUCUAGUGGCGCACGGGUGCGUAACGCGUGGGAAUCUGCCCCUUGGUUCGGAAUAACUCAGAGAAAUUUGAGCUAAUACCGGAUGAUGACGUAAGUCCAAAGAUUUAUCGCCAGGGGAUGAGCCCGCGUAGGAUUAGCUAGUUGGUGAGGUAAGGCUCACCAAGGCGACGAUCCUUAGCUGGUCUGAGAGGAUGAUCAGCCACACUGGGACUGAGACACGGCCCAGACUCCGUACGGGAGGCAGCAGUGGGAAUAUUGGACAAGUGGGCGAAAGCCUGAUCCAGCAAUGCCGCGUGAGUGAUAGAAGGUCCGUUAGGGUUGUAAACGUCGUUACCGUUUUACCCGGGAUA